GACGAACGCUGGCGGCGUGCUUAACACAUGCAAGUCGAACGGAAAGGCCCCUUUGGGGGUACUCGAGUGGCGAACGGGUGAGUAACACGUGAGUAACCUGCCCUUGACUUCGGGAGAACUUCAGGAAACUGGGGCUAAUACCGGAUAGGAAUCCUUGCUGCAUGGUGGGGGUUGGAAAGCUUCGGCGGUUUUGGAUGGACUCGCGGCUUAUCAGCUUGUUGGUGGGGUAGUGGCUUACCAAGGCUUUGACGGGUAGCCGGCCUGAGAGGGCGACCGGCCACAUUGGGACUGAGAUACGGCCCAGACUCCUACGGGAGGCAGCAGUGGGGAAUAUUGCACAAUGGGCGGGAGCCUGAUGCAGCAACGCCGCGUGCGGGAUGACGGCCUUCGGGUUGUAAACCGCUUUCAGCAGGGGCGAAGCUUGUGGUGACGGUACCUGCAGAAGAAGCACCGGCUAACUACGUG
RNAcentral lists this ribosomal RNA (465 nucleotides) under uncultured bacterium. RNAcentral's name for it is "partial 16S ribosomal RNA". It matches the Rfam family "Bacterial small subunit ribosomal RNA", at positions 28 to 507 of the family's 1533-position model. The record is from RNAcentral.